GCGCCUCACCACCGGCGUGCGCGUUCAUACCACGCCCACAUCGCGUGCCCAACCCCGCGCCCCGUGAUCCAUCACUGUCGGCGCACGUCAACACCACCACUACACCUCCAAGCAGUACCUUCAAACACUGCAGUUUUCGACCCAACUUCCGUGAAGCAUGCCAUUCACAUCACGUCGCCCUAACCAAAUCACUUUUGUUUCAAAACUUUGACGUGCCCUGGGCGUAACCCCCCCCCCACCCUACCUCCACCUGUGCGUGUGAGCGAGAAGGUGUUUACACGUUGUUGCAUCAUCACAACCGGUCGAUAAACGCUGCUGCCAAGAAGAGGAACAACAACAACUCCGCCGCAGCCGUCGUCGUUGAUUGUUGGGUCUUUAGAGUUGAAACGAUCGGCCGCAAGGAAUGUCUGACGCGCCGAAUUUGCUCCGGGUGGUGUGCAUCCUCAUCGCUGUGUGUGUCCUCACGGAAGCGAAGUGCAAUGACACCACGGAGUAUGAAGACAACGGUCGAUGUUGUGAGAAAUGCCCACCAGGUUUCUUCAUGACGGAGAAGUGCUCAGAAGGAUCAAAAGCGUCCACGUGUAAGAGUUGCACCGAGGAAUCUUACAGUGACACGCACAGUACAGAUGCUCAGUGUAAGUCAUGCGACGUUUGCAAUGAAGAGAUUCGUAAGACAGAGGUGAAGCCCUGCACACCAACAAGUAAUCGGGAGUGUGCUUGUGAAGAUGGCACUCACGAAUUUCACGACGGAGGGAUAGAGAUCUGCUGCAAUAACUGUCCUGCUGGAGAAGCGUUGACAAGUGAAUGUAAAAUUGAUAGACCUACAACUUGUACCCCAUGUAAUGACGGGACCUACAGCAACGGCAUUGGAUGUAAUGACGGCGACAAGAUAUCGGCACCUCGCACGACGACGAGCGACACAGAGAGCGGGACGUACGAGGAACGCAAAACGCCUUCUGUUGCGGGGUCACCAUCUUGCGAAUGACUGAGGCUCGGGGCUGUACAUGCGCUGGGAGAGGCAUCUAGCGGUGAGCAUUAGAAACUCUAUGCCCCGCCCUUUCAAGUGGCAUUUUCAUCAUAAUCGUCAUAUCGAUGACGAUAAUAGUGAUCUUUUUCGUAUGUAUAUGCUGCUUGAACACACACCAUUCGAGUGUGGAUCCACUGCACAACGAAGUAAGGAAACGCAUCUAGACCAAUCCCUGGUUGGAGGUCGAAGGCCCCCCCGGACCAUUGUUCACGAUGAGAGGCCGGGGGAAGAGAUCAAGACACCCCUCGUUCGACUGGAUAUUCAAAGUUUUGCUCACUUGCUAGCUUUUAGCGUUUCGUUUUUUGUACAUCCCUCCCCCUCCCUCCGAUUAGCACGGUUGGCUAUGUACAACAUGCAUACGUACGUACAUAGCGAGAGCAAAUGCAUCACAGUAAAACGUACCGAAGACACGCGUGUAAUCCUGAAUUGUAAUGUAUUAUCACGGCGAAGGCACAUCUGUGCGUUAUCAUUCUACGCAACGUCGUCAUCGUCCUACGCGCCCUCAAGACUCGGCCACACCUGACAGGUCACCGGCUGCAUCAGCCACCUCUGGCUGCCGUGCUGUCGUCAGGUCAAGCUGCUGCUGUUAUGCACUUGAGACGGUGUGCGAGUGACGACUUCACAUCCAACGGCACAGAAGAUCCUCGUUAGACGCCUGCCGUUGUCAACUCCUCGACGAGAGCGCGAGAGAGACCAUCUGCUACAGACUGUGUGACUGACAUAAAUUCGAGUUCAAUGAUUAUCACUACCCGAUCCUAAUUAGCCCUAUCCAUCACGAUGCUCUCAUCACGUAUUAUAUUGACAAUCACCAAAAUGUCGAACAACGGAUCUCAAAUGCUACGGUGUCAAUGGGUAUUCUGAAUUUGGUAUAUCGAUAAUUACAUACACAAAAUAUUAACCGGGCUUCACAUGAUCAUCAUUUUACGGACUCGGUGAUACCUUAUUAACCCUAAUUCUGAGUUUAUCCAUUGAUUAGAUUGUUUUAAUUUGUAUGUAUGUUGAUCUUUCACACCGUAUAUAGCCAACCGUGCUCAUCGGAGGUGUGGUGGAUGUGUAGUGUCGUCUGUGCUUGCGGGUGGCGUGCGUCGCACACACAGUCAGCCGGAGACGAGUAGGUCGCAGGAGGCACCGCUUUGCCCUUUUAUUGUUGCCACGCUCAUGCCACCACUCGGGCCCCUUCUCUCGUACAUGAUCCCGCUGCCGCACGACCCGUCCCAGACAUGACCCUGUCCGCGUUGCACCGAUGGCGUCGACCAGGACAGCCAACUACUGUCCGGCCGCGCAAUGAUCGGGCGAAGGCGGCAGCGACAAGGGCGGUGACGACAGCGAUGACGAGACGAGUCCAACCCCAGAACCGGCAGCCCGGAGCUCUCGCUCCCCGCUGCUUUUAUUCCCCUCGGCGCGGCUUUUCGAACCCUCUGGAGGGUUCCAGGGGCUUCCACACGAGGUCUACCAUGACCCUUGCCCCAGUUCCUCCGCCCUGCCGGCACACCCGCGUUUAUGCUCAGCGGCAUGCGCACUAAGUGCCCACCUGCAGUUGCAGCUGCUGUCCAACAGUCAGCGCUAUGUCACUACAGAUGCAUAACAAACAAAACACAUUUGUGUAACACUAUCAAGUAUUCUUUGGACCGAGUACCAAUCAUAUUCAAUGAUAUUUAAUGAUUGGUACUCUGAUUCUUUUAAAUAAAUUUUAUACUUGUUUGCAUUAAAAUAUGCCUCCAUGUGUGUGGUUGAAUGAUCCAUCAAAUCCACCCGUUAAAUGCGAGAUAUCAAAGAAUCUGAAUAACUAGACUAUAG
This is an RNA transcript of Lethenteron reissneri (Far Eastern brook lamprey), 2824 nucleotides long. It is a transcript of the gene named tumor necrosis factor receptor superfamily member 26-like, with no coding region annotated. The record is from RefSeq and is a predicted model, not a curated record. Lineage: Eukaryota; Metazoa; Chordata; Hyperoartia; Petromyzontiformes; Petromyzontidae.